UUCUUAUCAAGAGCAGGUGGAGGGACGAGCCCUUUGAAGCCCGGCAACCGAUCUAAUUUGUUUAGACACGGUGCUAAUUCUUGCAGCUAUAAGGCUGAGAGAUAAGAA
RNAcentral lists this non-coding RNA (108 nucleotides) under Heyndrickxia shackletonii. RNAcentral's name for it is "Bacillus shackletonii SAM-I sequence". It matches the Rfam family "SAM riboswitch aptamer (S box leader)". Rfam says of the family: The SAM riboswitch is found upstream of a number of genes which code for proteins involved in methionine or cysteine biosynthesis in Gram-positive bacteria. The SAM riboswitch acts at the level of transcription termination control. The record is from Rfam by way of RNAcentral. Lineage: Bacteria; Bacillati; Bacillota; Bacilli; Caryophanales; Bacillaceae.